RNAcentral lists this long non-coding RNA (3590 nucleotides) under Pelobates cultripes (western spadefoot toad). Lineage: Eukaryota; Metazoa; Chordata; Amphibia; Anura; Pelobatidae. The record is from RNAcentral.
GUUUGGCUAAAAAGGUAGACUUAUGGUGCAGGAUUCUGCAAAAUAUUUAUUUGUUUUAUGCAAAAACUAUAAAGAUUUGAGCAUGCAAAAAAUACAGCAUAUUAAUGAGGCCAACACCUAUCAAUGUCAUUAAAGUAGUAUUGGUGCCCGGGGUAUCUCUUUAAGCACAAUUGCUUCCACCUUUUACAUUUUGUAGACAAGGACAUAAGAUCACAAUGGUGUCCCAACAUUCUAUGACCAUUCUUUAUUCUCCCUCAGGCUAAUGCCUACUACACGUGUGAAUAAAUGUGUUUCAGGUGGGUUGAACAAACAAAAUUCCUUUUACUCUAUGCCUGAACAAAUCGAUCCAUCUGGGAUUUAUCCUUGGAUGUCUGGAUUUUGCAAUAUACCCUCCAAAUUAGACUGAGUAAAGACCAGAUUUCAGCCUGUCCAGAUGUGACCAAACCUUUAAAAUCCAGAUUCAAAUAGUGGAAAUACCCAUUUAAACAGUGAUAACUAAAACAUAAUAUGCAGCUGUGUGCAUGUAAAUUUGGGUCAACAGAAUUUCAAAUGAUAUAGAGGCUAUUAUUACAAAAAGCUGUUAUUGGCACCGUAUUAGUACUGGGGAGAAUUGGUUUACUCCAAUAUAUCCCAAAAAUAUUAUAUAUUUUUUUUAAAUAGGGUAGUACUUAACCACCGAUCUGAUCUAUAUCAAGUAACUAAAGCUCUGCCUCCAUCAUAUAGUUGUUAUUUUAAGCUUAAACGCAACUUAUCCUUUGCUCUCCUAGGAUAUUAAACCACUAUCCUUAUAACUGCAAACCUAACUGGUCAUAUAUGGAGUGGCACACACAAUUACUUCUUCAAAUUAACUUUGUACAUGGCGGCCUAGGCCAUCAAAGCUUCACUUACAGAUUGUCGCGAUAUGUGAGGACCCUCCGCAAGAUAUAUGGAAAGAACUCCAUCAAAGGUGGAGUAGAGUGAUAGAAAGGCAAAUAUUACUGGAUCUCAGAGUGGUUGAGCUUAACGCUAAGAAUGAACUAAUAAGAAUAAGAAUGAUAUAUUCAGACAAGGAGAAGAAUCAAAAUAUUAGUAGAAACUAUAGCAGAAAGCUAACUGGGUUGUAUAGGGUUAUGGAUACUGGGAUAAUUUAAAGCCAGGAACAGGCCAGGUCUUCUUGUACACUAUUCAAUAACAAAAUAAUUUGUGGUCAAAUAGUUGCCAGGUCUAAUCACAUGAAUUACUUAAGUGCUCUGUAAACACAAAAGGGCACGGGGCAAUGCGAAACCAAGGCCAAGACACUUCAUCUAAUGUCAAUGAUGCAUCUGACAUGAUGCCAACCAAUAAGGUAAAAAAUGGACGCCAAGAUUGUGCCUUGCAGGAACUAUGCUGGUUACAUUGUAAUAUUCAUAACAACCCCACAUCCACUAUGACAUAGGAAGAUUAUUGCAUAGAGAGUCAAUAGAUUUACAACAGUUUCUACAAAAAUUCAGACAAAUCUCAAAAUGGCUGUUUAAGGGAAUAUCGAAUACCGGACUGGAUUAGUCACGAAUUGGAAUGAAAUAUUUACCUAAAGUCGAAUUCAAGCCAAUCUCUAUUUUUUUUUACUCUCAGGCAGGCACAUUUUGAUUCUUUGUACAAAUAAAUUCUGCAAUGUGGACCCAGGCAUAGGUGAAACUACAGCCUGAAAUAGAACAGGGCAAGGCUUUUCUAUUAGGUUUCCUUUAGCAAUGGCCGUAACUAAAUACACGAAGACUUGGCAAUCAACUGUCACACAAAAUCUUCAUUUGUCUUUUGUGGCUGGAGGAUCUGCUUGAGAAUGUCAGCCUUGAUUAGAAAAAGCUUAGAAUUAGAAUACCGUUCACAUUAUUUAGAUUUAUUUAGGAUUACGAGAGCUACACGUGAGAAUACCAGGGUAUGCCUUUUAGAUUGUUUGCUUGUGGAAACCAGACUGACAUAAUUAAGCACAUACAGUUUUCUCCAACACCAACGUGUAUUUAAGUAAGUGGUUUUGACUUUUAUGGGAGUAUGUGUGUUGUUGAUGACCAAUAUAUAAAUAUUCCCAGCGGACCUCAUUUUACUUCCAAUAGAAACAUUUUGAAUUCCAAAAUUCCUAAAGUACCUUCGUAAAGUAGAGACAUUCUUUCUUUAGCAUGUUCUGCUCAGAGAUACACACUAUAUAGUAUUACGCAGAGCAACCUGUUUAAAGCAAACUAACUCACUGUCAGGAUAUAAAGUUAUCGGUUAUGAGUCAGGGAUGAUUAUACAACGUAUAAGGUUAAUAGGAUUGUCUACCUCUACGGUCAACGUCUGUCAGACCUCAGUACUAGAACUGGAAAUUAUAAUUAACAUCUUAUUUGUGCUUUAAAUUACUUGUCUUUCUCAACCGACACAUUAUUCUAGAUACAUAACACAUGUGGGGCAUCUUCAUAGAUUAUUCGUGUUUAUAUCAUAAUUCAUGGUAUAUAGAAUGUAAUUAUAUGAGGCCAUUACACCAAAGACUGUUUCUACAGUGUACAUUAGUUCAGAUAUUAAAGGUACACUAUCUUUUUUUGUUUAGCAAAACCCAGAGGAUUCACUAAAACACACAUUUAGCCUGUCCUUAAAAUUAGUCUUUUACUCCAGUGACUACAGUCCCUCAUUGUAAUGCAUAUUCACACAGUACAAAUACUUGCUCAGAUAAUGAGUAAGUAAAACGUUCUUAUUAUGGCAUUGCAAUCUGGAGGUGUGGACUGUGCGUGCCUGGAAAUCCUCCAGUGUUGUCAAACUGCUUGGGAAACAAGUUUGGCAUAAGCCAGGCUAUCCUAGCGUCAUAACCACAAGAAUAAGUUAUCGUUUUUAAUGUCUACUAACUAGAGUAGUAUGGUCCUCAUGCUACACUUUAGAGGUGUUUAUGAAAGUACAGUAAUGGGUUUACUUACAUCUCCAAUAUAUUAUUCAUAAUUUCCCUAAAAUAAUGGCAAAUAUGUUCAUCCUACCUAGAGGACACCUGCAACUUUGUCUUUGUUGCAGUUCCUGUUGACAAUGCACACAUGCCCUGUGUACAACUUUAUGUAAAUGGUUUCCCACUGAUCAGUUCAGCCUGAAUUUAAUGUUUGGGGCACUACAAUAAUAGAACAUAAUAUUAUAUCUCUAUUGAGAGAUUGAGAAAAUACUGUAUUACAGAGAGUGCAAUGUGUACUAAGGAUAGCCUUGCAUGGAGAUUGUAAAAGCAAACACAAUUCACAAAUUCUAAAACACUUGUGAGUGCAUAAAAAUAAAUAAAAAUGGAAUGUGAUAGAAAAUAAAUUCGGUCAACUGCUCUGCCAAGAGUGAACGAUUUUAUCAGCCACCCAUUUGGGAAGGUUCACACAGGGAGUACUCACCAGUAAUUGCCAGUUGUUCAGAUGUGAUAAUCAUCUUCUAAUCUAUAAGAUCCAAGGGAUUUCCCCACUUCUUAUUCUUCGAGAGUCCAUCCACUGUAACGUCUACAGAGCAGAGGGAGAAAUAAAUAAACAUGCAGUAAAAGUAAUAUUUUCACAGUAUUUUUAUUGUCUGAGCAACUUUUUGAAUAUCCCAAACAUCAUUGUUUGCAAAAAAUAAGCUUAUCUUCAAUGUCAAUCUUUGGUCCAUCU